CCUACGGGAGGCAGCAGUGGGGAAUCUUGCACAAUGGGCGAAAGCCUGAUGCAGCGACGCCGCGUGCGGGAUGAAGGCCCUCGGGUUGUAAACCGCUUUCAGCAGGGACGAGGCGCAAGUGACGGUACCUGCAGAAGAAGCCCCGGCUAACUACGUGCCAGCAGCCGCGGUAAU
Molecule: ribosomal RNA, 174 nt
Filed under: uncultured bacterium
Lineage: Bacteria
Description: partial 16S ribosomal RNA
Rfam family: Bacterial small subunit ribosomal RNA
Source: RNAcentral